UUGGAGAUGCUCUGACAAGGGCCACAUUGUGAUGGAUCAACUUUGAGGACAAAAUGUUCACUUUCUGCCUGAUAUACCUGUAUAUGUACCUAGAUGUUAGUGAUAAUCUCAAAAAGGUAAUUCUAAUAUUGUUAACAUAGCAUACCUGACCCAGUUCAGCCCAACCCUGCAUCGCUGCUAGUGGCUGUGGCAGACCCUCCCUUAUAUUAUUAUCGAUUCUUAUUGUUAUCAGUGGUGGUGAUUGUUUUAUUAAUAACUGCUUUGGGGAUGUUGUCCACCUUAUGCGUGCAUGCACACACACACCACUUAAACACAACAUUGAAAACAAAUGUCACUUUGCACUUAUUUUUUCUUAUUAAUUGUCCUGUCCAUUUAUUGUUUUGUUUUCCCUGUAUUUCCCUGUGUAUUUUGUCUUGCAAUGGAAAAAAAAAAUUAUUAAAAAAACCACAGGUGCCCACACAUGUCUAGUAGCUGCCGGUGUGGGGGUUAUACAUAGAAAAUAAUAGGGACAGCAGUUUUUAAAA
This is a long non-coding RNA of Dicentrarchus labrax (European seabass), 524 nucleotides long. RefSeq lists it as uncharacterized. Lineage: Eukaryota; Metazoa; Chordata; Actinopteri; Moronidae. The record is from RefSeq and is a predicted model, not a curated record. The transcript has 2 exons.